This 664-nucleotide ribosomal RNA is filed under the name Neoechinorhynchus agilis. RNAcentral's name for it is "SSU rRNA". It matches the Rfam family "Eukaryotic small subunit ribosomal RNA", at positions 576 to 1210 of the family's 1831-position model. Lineage: Eukaryota; Metazoa; Acanthocephala; Eoacanthocephala; Neoechinorhynchida; Neoechinorhynchidae. The record is from RNAcentral.
GCGUAUUCCAGCUCGAAUAGCGUAUGUUAAAUUUGCUGCGGUUAAAAAGGCUCGUAGUUGGGAGUCAGGAGAUGAACUGUGCGCUGUCAUGUCACAAAAUGACGUGUAUAGCAUUGCACCAGAUUCACUUCUUUAACAUCGCUGCUCCUGCGUCGUCAAAGACCCAAUUAAGUUUGGGAGGCGCAUUUAAAAGGGAAGGCGAGUAACUACUUUGAGAAAAUUAGCGUGCUUAACGCAAGCGUCUUGCUUGAAUACUGUUGCAUGGAAUAAUGAGAUAGGACCUUGGUUCUGUUUCGUUGGUUUCCGGAAGCCGAGGUAAUGAUUGAUAGGGAUAAACGUGGGCAUUCGUAUUGUGGUGUUAGAGGUGAAAUUCGAUGAUCACCGCAAGACGUACAACUGCGAAAGCAUUUGCCAAGAAUGUUUUCAUUAAUCAAGAACGAAAGUUAGAGUUUCGAAGACGAUUAGAUACCGUCCUAGUUCUAACUAUAAACUAUGCCAACUGGGCAUCUGGCGCUUGCAACUUAAAAGCAUCGCCAGGCACCCCGCGGGAAACCAAAGUUAUUGGGUUCCGGGGGGAGUAUGGUUGCAAAAUCGAAACUUAAAGGAAUUGACGGAGGGGCACACCAGAAGUGGAGCCUGCGGCUUAAUUUGACUCAACACGGGA